GCCAGAGAGAUGUGAAGUCAGACACAUGGUACUGAGGUGAGGUAACAAGCCAUGUGGCAGAACACAGAUUAAUAUAAAUGGGUCAGUUUACAUUUCAAGAGGCCUAAGCCAAGGCUAAGCUUUCAUAAUUGGCAAGACAUCUCUGUGUUAUUAUUUGGGAGCUGGCAGUCCAAAGAAAGACUUGCUACAAGAGUCAUCAGGUAGUAUUGAUUUCAAAGGCAGGAAGGGGUCAUGAAGAACAUGGGAAGCUCGGCACUGUGUGGAUGGUCUCUCUGAAAGACAACCCCAGAAGAGGACGCUCAGCAGUUUUAGAGAUGCUGGUGCCACAUGAUGGCCUCCAGGAACGACAGACACAAUGAAAUGGACCAGGCUGGGGCCUGGAAGACAGGUAGUGUGAGCUGUGGAGGGCCGGGCCAGAGAGGUGACCUGAGCCUCCUGGGAAAGCCCACAGGACCUCGAGUGAAUCUCAGACGUUGAGCACUGAGUUGUUUGCCCUGCUGGAUGUCGGUUUUGUCUUGUUCAGACUGCGGCUGUGCACAGUUUACUCCCUCUUGAAGUAAAAAAGAAAUGUCAUGUCCUUCCUGGAGGCAACCCUAAGGUCUCCAAAGAAGACAGACGGGGCGCAGACCUGGAUUGUGGCGAUGCUAACCACUGGAAAUGACUGCCCCAUGCCUUGCCUGCUUCCAGGGCAGUGGACAAACUGUGGACACUGUUGGGUUGACUGCCCUACUCUGCUUAAGUCAAGGAACUUGCUUUGCAAUGGCUGCUCUCCAUAAUCAACCGCCUGUGUCUCAUGGUAAAGAUAUGAGAAAGUGACUUAAGACACCAUCCAGGAGAUAGCCGCAGACUACAAACUGCUGCAAACUGCUGUGAACCCUGGACUUGCUGAAAGCUGAUGUGGACCAGUCCAGCUGAUGUGAGUGGUCCCUGGCUGUAUGGAGCAUAUAAACGGACAGGGAGAAGCCUGGCUGGAAGGGGAUUAGGAAAGUGAGCAUAGGCCAAUUACCCGACUACCAGAGCUAAGAAUGAAGGAGAGUGUGCACGUGUGGCAGAGUAUGAUAAGCGAGGUAUUUAAUGACCAGCUCAGGACCGAGAAGCAGAGCUCACCAUGACUGUAUAAAGGACACGUCCUGGAACUCUCCUCUGCCUGAGAAGCCAGUCCACUAAGCUGAGAGCUGCCCUAUCUGAUACCAGACACCAAAGACUGGAGACCUUGGUGGACUCGAAGCUUGAAUUCAGAGGAAUCUUAAGGUUGUGAGCCUAGUGGCUAUGGUCCCUAGGACUUAGCUCUUGUGUGUGUAUAUUGCUCCGAUAUAAGUAUAAAGUAAAAUACUUACUCAAAACCAA
This is a long non-coding RNA of Mesocricetus auratus (golden hamster), 1347 nucleotides long. RefSeq lists it as uncharacterized. The record is from RefSeq and is a predicted model, not a curated record. The transcript is spliced from 4 exons. NCBI's taxonomy places the organism in Eukaryota, Metazoa, Chordata, Mammalia, Rodentia, Cricetidae.